AUGAUUUUUUUUUCAUAUUUCUACGCAUUUCAGGCCAUCCUUACAGGUUGUUCUGCUGGUGGUCUAGCAAUGAUAGUGCAUUGCGACGAUUUUAGUGCACGAUUUUCUCACAAGGUUUCGGUUAAAUGCCUUGUCGAUGCUGGGUUUAUUCUUGACGUAAAGGAUAUAUCUGAACAAAGGUCCUUCCGAUCUCUCUAUGGUGGAGUCGUUCAUCUCCAGAAUGUUAGACAAGUGUUGCCCAAGGACUGCCUUACCAACAAAGAGCCAACUGAGUGUUUCUUCCCUGCGGAACUUAUUAAGAGCAUCCACACCCCCAUGUUUAUUGUCAACUCUGGGUAUGAUCCAGCGCAGAUACGAAAUGUGAUCGUACCAGCUUCGUCGGCUCCUGAUAAGUCGUGGUUGAGUUGCAAGGAUAAUAUCCGGAACUGCAAUUCCACACAAAUUGAUGUUCUUGAUGGACUAAGGACCACGAUGGCUGAUGCAUUAAAGGUUGUUAAAGAUAAAGAGGACUGGGGAUUUUUCAUCGACUCAUGCUUCACUCAUUGCCAAACGGUCCUUGAUGUCUCAUGGAAUUCACAUAAUUCCCCGAGGCUUGGAAAUAAAACCAUUGCAGAAGUUGUUGGAGAUUGGCACCGUGGAAGGACGCAAGGAGUGAAAGAGGUUGACUGCAAGUAUCCGUGCAACCCAACAUGCAAUAGUCAGUCACCUUUAUGA
This 714-nucleotide ribosomal RNA is filed under the name Triticum aestivum (bread wheat). RNAcentral's name for it is "partial small subunit ribosomal RNA". Lineage: Eukaryota; Viridiplantae; Streptophyta; Magnoliopsida; Poales; Poaceae. The record is from RNAcentral.